This 494-nucleotide ribosomal RNA is filed under the name uncultured bacterium. RNAcentral's name for it is "partial 16S ribosomal RNA". It matches the Rfam family "Bacterial small subunit ribosomal RNA", at positions 28 to 523 of the family's 1533-position model. The record is from RNAcentral.
GAUGAACGCUAGCGGCAGGCUUAACACAUGCAAGUCGAGGGGUAUUGGUUUUCGGACCAAGAGACCGGCGCACGGGUGCGUAACGCGUAUGCAAUCUACCUUUUGCAGAGGGAUAGCCCAGAGAAAUUUGGAUUAAUACCUCAUAGUAUAGUAGUUUCGCAUGAAACGACUAUUAAAGUUCCAACGGCAAAAGAUGAGCAUGCGUCCCAUUAGCUAGAUGGUAAGGUAACGGCUUACCAUGGCAACGAUGGGUAGGGGUCCUGAGAGGGAGAUCCCCCACACUGGUACUGAGACACGGACCAGACUCCUACGGGAGGCAGCAGUGAGGAAUAUUGGACAAUGGGCGCAAGCCUGAUCCAGCCACGCCGCGUGCAGGAUGACGGUCCUAUGGAUUGUAAACUGCUUUUGUACAGGAAGAAACACUCCCUCGUGAGGGAGCUUGACGGUACUGUAAGAAUAAGGAUCGGCUAACUCCGUGCCAGCCGCCGCCGUAA